This 465-nucleotide ribosomal RNA is filed under the name uncultured bacterium. Its description in RNAcentral is "bacterial SSU rRNA". It matches the Rfam family "Bacterial small subunit ribosomal RNA", at positions 1006 to 1467 of the family's 1533-position model. The record is from RNAcentral.
UCGGAUCUUUCCCUCCGGGGACAGAGGAGACAGGUGGUGCAUGGUUGUCGUCAGCUCGUGUCGUGAGAUGUUGGGGUUAAGUCCCGCAACGAGCGCAACCCUUGUCUUUAGUUGCCAGCAGGUUAAGCUGGGCACUCUAGAGAGACUGCCGGUGACAAACCGGAGGAAGGUGGGGAUGACGUCAAAUCAUCAUGCCCCUUAUGUACUGGGCUACACACGUGCUACAAUGGCUGGUACAACGGGAAGCGAAGGAGUAAUCUGGAGCGAAUCCCAAAAAGCCAGUCCCAGUUCGGAUUGUGGGCUGCAACUCGCCCACAUGAAGUUGGAGUUACUAGUAAUCGCGGAUCAGAAUGUCGCGGUGAAUGCGUUCCCGGGUCUUGUACACACCGCCCGUCACACCAUGGGAGUUGGGGGCACCCGAAGUCAGCUAUCUAACUUUUUAAGAGGAAGCUGCCGAAGGUAAAU